GAUGAACGCUGGCGGCGUGCUUAACACAUACAAGUCGAACGGUGAAGCUCCAGCUUGCUGGAGUGGAUCAGUGGCGAACGGGUGAGUAACACGUGAGCAACCUGCCCCUGACUCUGGGAUAACAGCCGGAAACGGCUGCUAAUACCGGAUAUGCACCAUGAACGCAUGUUCUGUGGUGGGAAAGAUUUUUCGGUUGGGGAUGGGCUCGCGGCCUAUCAGCUUGUUGGUGAGGUAAUGGCUCACCAAGGCGUCGACGGGUAGCCGGCCUGAGAGGGUGACCGGCCACACUGGGACUGAGACACGGCCCAGACUCCUACGGGAGGCAGCAGUGGGGAAUAUUGCACAAUGGGCGAAAGCCUGAUGCAGCAACGCCGCGUGAGGGAUGACGGCCUUCGGGUUGUAAACCUCUUUUAGCAGGGAAGAAGCGAGAGUGACGGUACCUGCAGAAAAAGCGCCGGCUAACUACGUG
This 469-nucleotide ribosomal RNA is filed under the name uncultured bacterium. Its description in RNAcentral is "partial 16S ribosomal RNA". It matches the Rfam family "Bacterial small subunit ribosomal RNA", at positions 28 to 507 of the family's 1533-position model. The record is from RNAcentral.